GUCGGGGGCGGCGGACGACGACCGGAAAUAUCGGCAGGGCUUCUCCAAGCUGGGGGCCGUCUGGUCGCUCGUCUACCGUCGUCUCCUACGCAUUUGUCUCCCGUCCGAAGGACGCCGCAGCCGGUUGGGUAUUUGCAAGCACGGCGGCCUGAGGGGCGGACGAAGGCAGUUGGCCGGUGGCUGGGAUCCAUUCCCCGUCGCCGGUUGUUAGCCUGUCCGCCGGUGGCCCGUCACCCGACCGAGGUGUCACGAGGCCCCUAGCGGGCCCUAACGUGUCCUCCUCCCUGGAUGCGGGUCAGAGUGUCGCAGCCGAAUUCCGCCGCCUGUCGCACGCCACGAGGCGUGGACUCGAGAGCGGAAGGCGCCGAUGGCGAUGCCGGACCCGUGGGAAGAAUGGAGGCUGGCGGCGAGUAGGUCGGUCACCCACCCGACCCGUCUUGAAACACGGACCAAGGAGUCUAACAUGUGCGCGAGUCAAUGGGACUUGAAUAGGCCCAGAGGCGCAAUGAAAGCAAAGGGCGGCCCUGACGCCGCCCGAGUUGGGAUCCGUCCUCUCUAAUGGGGGCGGCGCACCAGCGACCCGUCCUAUCCGGCUCGUCCGGUUGGGCGGAGUGUGAGCGCACACGUUGGUACCCGAAAGAUGGUGAACUAUGCCCGGGCAGGACGAGGCCAG
This 673-nucleotide ribosomal RNA is filed under the name Ambohima sublima. Its description in RNAcentral is "eukaryotic LSU rRNA". The stretch from base 449 to 673 matches the Rfam family "Eukaryotic large subunit ribosomal RNA", at positions 665 to 855 of the family's 3401-position model. Lineage: Eukaryota; Metazoa; Arthropoda; Arachnida; Araneae; Phyxelididae. The record is from RNAcentral.